This 1401-nucleotide ribosomal RNA is filed under the name uncultured bacterium. RNAcentral describes it as "bacterial SSU rRNA". It matches the Rfam family "Bacterial small subunit ribosomal RNA". The record is from RNAcentral.
AGUUUGAACAUGGCUCAGGAACAACGCUGGCGGCGUGCUUAACACAUGCAAGUCCAACGGUAAGGCCCCUUUUUUUGGGGUUGUACGAGUGGCGAACGGGUGAGUAACACGUGAGUAACCUGCCCCAGACUUUGGGAUAACAGUUGGAAACGAUUGCUAAUACUGGAUAUGAGCUGCUGCCGCAUGGUGGUGGUUUGAAAGUUCCGGCGGUUUGGGAUGGGCUCGCGGCCUAUCAGCUUGUUGGUGAGGUGAUGGCUUACCAAGGCUUCGACGGGUAGCCGGCCUGAGAGGGCGACCGGCCACAUUGGGACUGAGAUACGGCCCAAACUCCUACGGGAGGCAGCAGUGGGGAAUAUUGCACAAUGGACGGAAGUCUGAUGCAGCAACGCCGCGUGCGGGAUGACGGCCUUCGGGUUGUAAACCGCUUUCAUCCAUGACGAAGCUUUUGUGACGGUAGUGGGUAAAGAAGCACCGGCUAACUACGUGCCAGCAGCCGCGGUGAUACGUAGGGUGCGAGCGUUGUCCGGAUUUAUUGGGCGUAAAGAGCUUGUAGGCGGUUUGUCGCGUCGGGGGUGAAAACUCGGAGCUUAACUUUGAGCUUGCUUUCGAUACGGGCUGACUUGAGGGAGGUAGGGGAGAAUGGAAUUCCUGGUGGAGCGGUGGAAUGCGCAGAUAUCAGGAGGAACACCGGUGGCGAAGGCGGUUCUCUGGACCUUUCCUGACGCUGAGAAGCGAAAGCGUGGGGAGCGAACAGGCUUAGAUACCCUGGUAGUCCACGCCGUAAACGGUGGGUACUAGGUGUGGGGGACAUUCCACGUUCUCCGUGCCGUAGCUAACGCAUUAAGUACCCCGCCUGGGGAGUACGGCCCGCAAGGCUAAAAACUCAAAGGAAAUUGACGGGGCCCCGCACAAGCGGCGGAGCAUGCGGAUUAAUUCGAUGCAAACGCGAAGAACCUUACCUGGGUUUGACAUAUGCCGGGAGCGUUCAGAGAUGGGCGUGCCUUUUUGGUCGGUUUACAGGUGGCGCAUGGCUGUCGUCAGCUCGUGUCGUGAGAUGUUGGGUUAAGUCCCGCAACGAGCGCAACCCUCGUCCAAUGUUGCCAGCGGGUUAUGCCGGGGACUCAUUGGAGACCGCCGGGGUCGAACUCGGAGGAAAGGUGGGGAUGAACGUCAAGUCAUCAUGCCCCUUAUGUCCGAGGGCUUCGACGCAUGCUACGAAUGGCCGGUACGAAAGAGCUGCGAGCCUGUGAGGGUGAGCGAAAUCUCGGAAAAGCCGGUCUCGGUUUCGGAAUUGAGGGUCUGCGAACUCGGACCCCGUGAAGUCGGAGUCGCUAGGAAUCCGGAAUCAGGCAAACGCUGCGAGUGAAAUCGUUUCCCGGGGCUUGUAGCACCGCCCCGUCA